CCCUUAGAGUUUGAUCCUGGCUCAGGAUGAACGCUAGCUACAGGCUUAACACAUGCAAGUCGAGGGGCAGCAUUUUAGUUUGCUUGCAAACUAAAGAUGGCGACCGGCGCACGGGUGAGCAACACGUAUCCAACCUGCCGAUAACUCAGGGAUAGCCUUUCGAAAGAAAGAUUAAUACCUGAUGGCAUAGGAUUAUCGCAUGAUAAUCCUAUUAAAGAAUUUCGGUUAUCGAUGGGGAUGCGUUCCAUUAGGCAGUUGGUGAGGUAACGGCUCACCAAACCUUCGAUGGAUAGGGGUUCUGAGAGGAAGGUCCCCCACAUUGGAACUGAGACACGGUCCAAACUCCUACGGGAGGCAGCAGUGAGGAAUAUUGGUCAAUGGACGGGAGUCUGAACCAGCCAAGUAGCGCGAAGGAUGACUGCCCUAUGGGUUGUAAACUUCUUUUAUACGGGAAUAAAGUGAUCCACGUGU
Molecule: ribosomal RNA, 471 nt
Filed under: uncultured bacterium
Lineage: Bacteria
Description: bacterial SSU rRNA
Rfam family: Bacterial small subunit ribosomal RNA
Source: RNAcentral